AAACUAACAAGGAUUCCCCUAGUAACGGCGAGUGAAGCGGGAAGAGCUCAAAUUUGAAAUCUAGUAGCCUUCGGCUGCUCGAGUUGUAAUCUAGAGAAGUGUUUUCCGUGCCGGCCCAUGUACAAGUCCCUUGGAACAGGGCGUCAUAGAGGGUGAGAAUCCCGUCCUUGACAUGGACCCCCGGUGCUCUGUGAUACACUUUCAACGAGUCGAGUUGUUUGGGAAUGCAGCUCAAAAUGGGUGGUGAAUUCCAUCUAAAGCUAAAUAUUGGCGAGAGACCGAUAGCGAACAAGUACCGUGAGGGAAAGAUGAAAAGCACUUUGGAAAGAGAGUUAAACAGUACGUGAAAUUGUUGAAAGGGAAACGAUUGAAGUCAGUCAUGCUCUUUGGUAUUUAUAUCAUUGAGUGGGGUCAACAUCAGUUUUGAGCGAUGGAUAAAGGCACUAGGAAGGUAGCACUCUCGGGUGAACUUAUAGCCUAGCGUCAUAUACAUUGUUUGGGACUGAGGAACGCAGCAUGCCUUUAUGGCCGGGAUUCGUCCACGUACAUGCUUAGGAUGUUGACAUAAUGGCUUUAAACGAC
This 582-nucleotide ribosomal RNA is filed under the name Naganishia diffluens. RNAcentral describes it as "eukaryotic LSU rRNA". It matches the Rfam family "Eukaryotic large subunit ribosomal RNA", at positions 62 to 648 of the family's 3401-position model. Lineage: Eukaryota; Fungi; Basidiomycota; Tremellomycetes; Filobasidiales; Filobasidiaceae. The record is from RNAcentral.